CCUACGGGUGGCAGCAGUGAGGGAUAUUGCACAAUGGGGGAAACCCUGAUGCAGCGACGCCGCGUGGGUGAAGAAGUAUUUCGGUAUGUAAAGCCCUAUCAGCAGGGAAGAAAGAAGACGGUACCUGACUAAGAAGCCCCGGCUAACUACGUGCCAGCAGCCGCGGUAAUACGUAGGGGGCGAGCGUUAUCCGGAUUCACUGGGUGUAAAGGGAGCGUAGACGGCCGUGCAAGCCAGGAGUGAAAGCCCGGGGCCCAACCCCGGGAAUGCUCUUGGAACUGGGCGGCUGGAGUGCGGGAGGGGCAGGCGGAAUUCCUGGUGUAGCGGUGAAAUGCGUAGAUAUCAGGAGGAACACCGGCGGCGAAGGCGGCCUGCUGGACCGCGACUGACGUUGAGGCUCGAAAGCGUGGGGAGCGAACAGGAUUAGAUACCCCAGUAGUC
This 441-nucleotide ribosomal RNA is filed under the name uncultured bacterium. RNAcentral's name for it is "partial 16S ribosomal RNA". It matches the Rfam family "Bacterial small subunit ribosomal RNA", at positions 338 to 795 of the family's 1533-position model. The record is from RNAcentral.